This 292-nucleotide ribosomal RNA is filed under the name uncultured bacterium. RNAcentral describes it as "partial 16S ribosomal RNA". It matches the Rfam family "Bacterial small subunit ribosomal RNA", at positions 505 to 796 of the family's 1533-position model. The record is from RNAcentral.
GUGCCAGCAGCCGCGGUAAUACGUAGGCAGCAAGCGUUGUUCGGAGUUACUGGGCGUAAAGGGUGUGUAGGCGGUCUUUUAAGUUUGGUGUGAAAUCUCCCGGCUCAACUGGGAGGGUGCGCCGAAAACUGGAAGGCUAGAGUGCGGGAAGGGAGAGUGGAAUUCCUGGUGUAGCGGUGAAAUGCGUAGAUAUCAGGAGGAACACCGGUGGUGCAGACGGCUCUCUGGACCGCCACUGACGCUGAAACACGAAAGCGUGGGUAGCAAACAGGAUUAGAAACCCGCGUAGUCC